AAAUCUCAAUUGCCAUUUUUAGUUUAAAAGAAACUUGCUGCAAACUUUGAAGGUCUCGUAGUAAUCCUAUCCUACGGUAUAUGUUCUGGAACCUAUGAACAGGAUCUUGCUCACUCUAAGAUAUCAGAGAGCGAGGUUUGCCAAGAUCCUAGGGUAUAUAUUCUGGAAUCGAUAGUGGCCAUAUGGUUGGACAUACCUUCGAGUGCUGGGUUGCUUCAAGGAUAUGUCGAGCCGAUGAA
RNAcentral lists this long non-coding RNA (239 nucleotides) under Elaeis guineensis (African oil palm). Its description in RNAcentral is "long non-coding RNA (EGUI_LNC061480)". Lineage: Eukaryota; Viridiplantae; Streptophyta; Magnoliopsida; Arecales; Arecaceae. The record is from RNAcentral.